UGGUGGAGCCGCUGAUCCAAGGUGGUAGUAGGUGAGUGAUGGGGUGACGCAGGAAGGUAGUCCAGCCCGGGCGGUGGUUGUCCCGGGGUAAGGGUGUAGCCCGUCAUCCAGGUAAAUCCGGAUGGCACAUAAGGGUGAGACCUGAUGCCGAGCCGAUUGUGGUGAAGUGGAUGAUCCUAUGCUGUCGAGAAAAGCCUCUAGCGAGUUUCAUGGCGGCCCGUACCCUAAACCGAC
RNAcentral lists this ribosomal RNA (234 nucleotides) under Streptomyces rimosus subsp. pseudoverticillatus. Its description in RNAcentral is "partial 23S ribosomal RNA". It matches the Rfam family "Bacterial large subunit ribosomal RNA", at positions 1437 to 1658 of the family's 2925-position model. Lineage: Bacteria; Bacillati; Actinomycetota; Actinomycetes; Kitasatosporales; Streptomycetaceae. The record is from RNAcentral.